Long non-coding RNA from Lactuca sativa (garden lettuce), 738 nucleotides. RefSeq lists it as uncharacterized. NCBI's taxonomy places the organism in Eukaryota, Viridiplantae, Streptophyta, Magnoliopsida, Asterales, Asteraceae. The record is from RefSeq and is a predicted model, not a curated record.
AUUAUAACAAUACAGGGAAAAUGUAUUGCCCCCUAACUCGACUAUGAAGAACUGAGAAACUGAACUACUGACAGUUGCAUUCUUGCCUUUUGCUCUGCUACAUCGUCGUCGUCUUUUGCUCUGGUACAUCGUCGUGGCAUUCUUGACUUCGAAAUACCUCUGUGUACAAAAUACGCAUUCGCCUUCUCCUUCGACGCUGUGUACUAUUCUGGAUUAGAUCUUCUCGACUUCGAAAUACUCAUCGACAAAGAAAAGUCACCACAGUCACCAUGAUUAUAGCCUCGUUUUGAAGGAAGGCCCGUAUUGAUUGGAGCAUGGAAAGGAAUGAAAACCCAGAUUUGUUUUUGAACUGAUUUGAUCUAUUCUUACCAAAAGAUAAAGAUGGCCCAAAACCUGUCAUUAUCUUUGUGACUGGUGGAGCAUGGAUGAUAGGAUACAAACGACUGGGUGCACUUUUUGGUCUUCCGUUAGCAGAAAGGGAUAUGUAAUGGGACAAUCUGUUGGUGCCCAUAUAUCUUCUUGUGUACUCUUUUAACAGGCUAUUAAGGAAUCCAAAGGAGAGACCAUGUCUCUCAGAUCAAAGCUUAUUUUGGUUUUUCCGGAGUGUAAACAAACAUCAUUUAUGCUGUAAAUAUAUGUUAACAUGUAUACCAACAUUAGAUUUUGGUUAAACAAGUAUACCAACUUACCAACAUUAGCUCUAUUAUUGCUUGAUUCUAAUUUGUAUUUUGGCGAUUU